UACGUAGGGAGCAAGCGUUGUUCGGAUUUACUGGGCGUAAAGGGCGCGUAGGCGGCAUAUUAAGUCAUCUGUGAAAUCCCUCGGCUUAACCGGGGAACUGCGUCCGAUACUGGAUGGCUUGAGUUUGGGAGAGGGAUGCGGAAUUCCAGGUGUAGCGGUGAAAUGCGUAGAUAUCUGGAGGAACACCGGUGGCGAAGGCGGCAUCCUGGACCAACACUGACGCUGAGGAGCGAAAGCCAGGGGAGCAAACGGG
RNAcentral lists this ribosomal RNA (253 nucleotides) under uncultured bacterium. RNAcentral describes it as "partial 16S ribosomal RNA". It matches the Rfam family "Bacterial small subunit ribosomal RNA", at positions 524 to 776 of the family's 1533-position model. The record is from RNAcentral.